CUACGGGAUGCAGCAGUGGGGAAUAUUGCACAAUGGGGGAAACCCUGAUGCAGCAACGCCGCGUGAGGGACGACGGCCUUCGGGUUGUAAACCUCUUUUAGCAGGGAAGAAGCGAAAGUGACGGUACCUGCAGAAAAAGCACCGGCUAACUACGUGCCAGCAGCCGCGGUAAUACGUAGGGUGCAAGCGUUGUCCGGAAUUAUUGGGCGGAAAGAGCUCGUAGGCGGUUUGUCGCGUCUGCUGUGAAAAUCCGAGGCUCAACCUCGGACCUGCAGUGGGUACGGGCAAACUAGAGUGCGGUAGGGGAGAUUGGAAUUCCUGGUGUAGCGGUGGAAUGCGCAGAUAUCAGGAGGAACACCAAUGGCGAAGGCAGAUCUCUGGGCCGUAACUGACGCUGAGGAGCGAAAGCGUGGGGAGCGAACAGGAUUAGAUACCCGGGUAGUC
This 444-nucleotide ribosomal RNA is filed under the name uncultured bacterium. RNAcentral describes it as "partial 16S ribosomal RNA". It matches the Rfam family "Bacterial small subunit ribosomal RNA", at positions 339 to 795 of the family's 1533-position model. The record is from RNAcentral.